AUUGUUGGAUAAUUAUUAUAUUGGUGUUCACACGUGCUCUUGACUGGUUAUUUUUCUAGAUAUCAUAGUAUUUGUGAAAUAUUAGCACGUGUCUAAAUAUAUUUUUCUUGUAUUUAUAAUUCGCCAAUUACAUAGAUCCAUAUUUUUAAAGUUGGCUAUUUUAGAAAAUGUUUAGUUUUUUUUUUUUUAAUGUUAUGUAUCAAAUUGGUUGGGAUAAGUGUCAAGAAAAUAUGAAUUUGUAGUACGCAACAUGUGGCAAAGGAUGACGUCUCCCACUGCCAACACAUGGCAAAGUGGGGGCCAUCCCAUUAAAUAUUAGUUUGCCAUUUUUUUGGACAAAAUGAUAUAGAAUAUCUUCCUCCCUCAUUCGUAUGAACAAUAGCAAUUUUCUUACUUUCCUUGUUUGUAGUUGUAUGGGACAAAGUGCAGCACUAUAAAUAGAGGUUUCACUCUGCACGAAUCCUCUCAAUAAUUUUAAAUUUCAACUCUAAUCUUAAACACGGUUAUCCUCCGAAGAAUUUCCGAUUUUAAUGUCGAUUCCUUCAUGUAAAGGUUGGGGGAUAAAAUUAUUAAGCUACUAAUUUCAUUUCUUUUAAGAUUCUGGUACAAAGAGAAGUUGCAACAUUUCUUUCCAUUUCUGGAAACUUUUUCAUUUCAAGAACAGAGUACGUAUAAAGUUUUCCUCCCAAUAAAGAAAUAGCAUUUUCCUUCCAAAACGCAGCAGCAACGUUUUAUUUUAUUUUGAAUGGAUUGGAAAUUUCUUUGAAGUGAAGUAAGCUGGAAGAAGAAUUUCCUGACAUAUAAGCUAUAGAUCGUGGAGCAGACACGGGUUGAGUUCUUGAGCCGUUGAGCUAAGACCAGUCCCAGAUUGUUUUGCAGGUAAAAGUAUUCAGCUAGGAUGAUUGGCUAUCAGCUGGUAUUGGCAAACUCCAUUUUCUUCCUGGAGCGGUGCCGAGUCAUUAUGGUUAUCAUAUGUGUGUAUGGGUAUGUCGGGGCCCUGUCCUGACUCAUAUGAUUCAGGUGUUUACUCUUAGAGACUUUGAAGACAGUGUCCUGUGGUUAGUAUGUUGAGAUGUCAUGUGUUGAGUAAAGCGACCAUGUAGGCCGAUAUGUCAGCUUGAGUUAAUCGGCUUUUGAUUAAUUGAGUAUCGUUCGCAAAUUUUCAUGGUUUGACUAAAAGUACUUUAUUAUAUUUCCAAAAAAAUUUAUAUGUCCAGUUUCAUUGUGUGAAUAC
Long non-coding RNA from Lycium barbarum (goji berry), 1234 nucleotides. RefSeq lists it as uncharacterized. NCBI's taxonomy places the organism in Eukaryota, Viridiplantae, Streptophyta, Magnoliopsida, Solanales, Solanaceae. The record is from RefSeq and is a predicted model, not a curated record. The transcript is spliced from 3 exons.